GAGUUUUCCCCUUCGGGGGACAGAGUGACAGGUGGUGCAUGGUUGUCGUCAGCUCGUGUCGUGAGAUGUUGGGUUAAGUCCCGCAACGAGCGCAACCCUUAAGCUUAGUUGCCAUCAUUAAGUUGGGCACUCUAAGUUGACUGCCGGUGACAAACCGGAGGAAGGUGGGGAUGACGUCAAAUCAUCAUGCCCCUUAUGAUUUGGGCUACACACGUGCUACAAUGGACAAUACAAAGGGUAGCGAAACCGCGAGGUCAAGCAAAUCCCAUAAAGUUGUUCUCAGUUCGGAUUGUAGUCUGCAACUCGACUACAUGAAGCUGGAAUCGCUAGUAAUCGUAGAUCAGCAUGCUACGGUGAAUACGUUCCCGGGCCUU
This 374-nucleotide ribosomal RNA is filed under the name uncultured bacterium. Its description in RNAcentral is "bacterial SSU rRNA". It matches the Rfam family "Bacterial small subunit ribosomal RNA", at positions 1008 to 1382 of the family's 1533-position model. The record is from RNAcentral.